RNAcentral lists this ribosomal RNA (476 nucleotides) under uncultured bacterium. Its description in RNAcentral is "bacterial SSU rRNA". It matches the Rfam family "Bacterial small subunit ribosomal RNA", at positions 62 to 507 of the family's 1533-position model. The record is from RNAcentral.
UCUCGUUUAGAUUGAAGGAGCUUGCUCCUGAUUGAUAAACAUUUGAAGUGAGUGGCGGACGGGUGAGUAACACGUGGGUAACCUGCCCUAAAGUGGGGGAUAACAUUUGGAAACAGAUGCUAAUACCGCAUAAAACCUAACACCGCAUGGUGUAGGGUUGAAAGAUGGUUUCGGCUAUCACUUUAGGAUGGACCCGCGGUGCAUUAGUUAGUUGGUGAGGUAAAGGCUCACCAAGACCGUGAUGCAUAGCCGACCUGAGAGGGUAAUCGGCCACACUGGGACUGAGACACGGCCCAGACUCCUACGGGAGGCAGCAGUAGGGAAUCUUCCACAAUGGACGAAAGUCUGAUGGAGCAACGCCGCGUGAGUGAAGAAGGUUUUCGGAUCGUAAACUCUGUUGUUGGAGAAGAAUGUAUCUGAUAGUAACUGAUCAGGUAGUGACGGUAUCCAACCAGAAAGCCACGGCUAACUACGUG